RNAcentral lists this long non-coding RNA (704 nucleotides) under Sinocyclocheilus grahami. RNAcentral's name for it is "lncRNA (ENSSGRG00000009489.1)". Lineage: Eukaryota; Metazoa; Chordata; Actinopteri; Cypriniformes; Cyprinidae. The record is from RNAcentral.
CUGUUGUGAUAUGCUCAACAUUAAUAACACCUCUUUUAUAUAGUUAUAGAGAAGAUCUUACCUAGUGUGGUUUCUGGAAUCAUCUAACACUCCGCUGAGGCCGACGCAGUAGAAGCUACACAUGCAGAGAGGAGGCUCUUGAGCACACUUAACCUUCACCCUAACUGCUACAGUAAUGAGGACAAUCAGUCAGUGUGCUCAAUUCCCGAGAUCCCGGCAGAGAGUCAUAGCUUUUUAUCACCCAAUCAUGAGACGUUUACUUACUGUAAAACAGUGGAGGAUGCUGUUAGCGUCAAGCCCAAGAAUCUGACUGAAGCUGAAGAGUGGAUCAUUUCACCCUGUGAGCCAAAAAACGGAGUUUCUUCGUCUGCUGGAUUCUGAGGCGUCAGGAACAUCCAGCUUUCUGCAGCUGAAGCCUUUAAGGCUUCCUCUACAGGAAAACGGACAUCCCCUGUCCCACGACAUUCCCAACCGCAUGGCCUUGGAAGCUUCUUAGAUCCUCCAUCCAAUCCAAGAGUGGAAAAACGAGAGGUCAAACAGGUGUGACAUGCAUAUUUACCUAUGAUUUGUUUAAAUGAAUAUAUAGAGUACAGCCUAGACUUCUGACCACACGGCAGCAGUAUUGCAUCAGGAAAGUGAGCUGACUUGUGCAUUGCAGGUGUGUAUUGCAUAAUCAUUUCAGCACCAUCAAUUGAUUUCUAAAA